RNAcentral lists this unclassified non-coding RNA (21 nucleotides) under Mus musculus (house mouse). RNAcentral's name for it is "oocyte_clustered_small_RNA3532". Lineage: Eukaryota; Metazoa; Chordata; Mammalia; Rodentia; Muridae. The record is from RNAcentral.
UGCCUGGAGGCCGAGCAGCAC